Molecule: RNA transcript, 819 nt
Organism: Fragaria vesca subsp. vesca
Lineage: Eukaryota; Viridiplantae; Streptophyta; Magnoliopsida; Rosales; Rosaceae
Exons: 2
Source: RefSeq, a predicted model, not a curated record
AGCUCCGACUGUACCACGGCGCCGCCGUUCUUCUCCGGAAGGCCGUCGCCACCCUCCAAGAGAUGAACGACUUCACAAUCAAUAUGACGCCGGAGGAGGUGACCCUGGCGACUUUUGGUCAAAGUGUUUAAGGAGGAGUCCAUCUCUCCGCAAUGCUUUGGAUGCCGAAUUCGAUCUUGACUCUCCUCAAUUGCGACGCUACGUCAUGUUUCCGGCUCAACCCCUCCAUCUUGCUCCACCAUCUGAGUCGGGUCGGUGACGACGACGUUCUCAAAAUUCACGGAGGCGAUGGCAACGAUCGUAUCACCUUUCUCACUACGAAUCUCGCCUCCAGAAUGUAUUAUUGGGGGCGUCUAGCAUGCACAUCCAGUUUCCUUUAACUUCAGCCUCCGCUUCCUCACCGUUAUCCUCAACACAUGUCGUCUGUCAAACAUUCUGGAGGAUGCAUCAUCCAUUGUAUGGUUUCUCUAUUCAGAGAAUUUACAUCCCCUGCUGAAUUGCCCUAUUGGUUCAAUAGGCAACAUCACGUUGUGCCAUGACUGGGCCAAUAUGAUAUAGGAGUCUGCUCCAAGACAAUCUGCUGCAAGACAAUCCUUUCUACACACGUAUUGAUACAUUCUUAAAGAAUGUGCUCUUGUUUGAUCACAAGUGUAAAUGAUCCACACAGGAUGAAGUGAGAUGCAGUCGAAAACUCACGAAAUGUAAAUCUCUGUUAAGUGAGAUAUACAUAUCCUAUGUACAAAUGCUUUGGCAUGAAGGAUUAUAAUCUCUGUGUUUUUUUUAACAUCAAUUGAUCUUUCACUAGUAGAUGCCACAAUC